This 368-nucleotide long non-coding RNA is filed under the name Mustela putorius furo (domestic ferret). RNAcentral describes it as "lncRNA (ENSMPUG00000030148.1)". Lineage: Eukaryota; Metazoa; Chordata; Mammalia; Carnivora; Mustelidae. The record is from RNAcentral.
AGAACAUACUCCAAGGAAACUGUCUACAGGCGAGGUUGAUGUGACCAAUGGCCAAGCUUCAGGUAAACAGAAGUGGGACGUGAGUCAGAAGUCAGCCUCAGUGAGUGGGGGCCGGGCUUGUCUGCACCCUAACAGAGAUGUUCCCAGGAAGGGCUUGGUCAGGAUGGUUCGUUGUCUCUCCCUCAGCAUUUCCAGCAUUGUUUCCUGGCCUUCUGUUUUCCCAAAUACAGUCACGGAGGAAGACAGAGAGGAGCCAUAUUCUUGGUUUCCACCUAGAGACAGAAAGAAGUGAAAAGAGCAUCAUCCCCACUCUUAUAAGAAGAAAAAAGUCAAAGAUACAAGAUUUCUUGAACUCAUCAGAGGGCUGA